This 484-nucleotide ribosomal RNA is filed under the name uncultured bacterium. RNAcentral's name for it is "partial 16S ribosomal RNA". It matches the Rfam family "Bacterial small subunit ribosomal RNA", at positions 30 to 507 of the family's 1533-position model. The record is from RNAcentral.
AUUGAACGCUGGCGGCAGGCCUAACACAUGCAAGUCGAGCGGAUGAAGGGAGCUUGCUCCUGGAUUCAGCGGAGGACGGGUGAGUAAUGCCUAGGAAUCUGCCUGGUAGUGGGGGAUAACGUCCGGAAACGGGCGCUAAUACCGCAUACGUCCUGAGGGAGAAAGUGGGGGAGCUUCGGACCUCACGCUAUCAGAUGAGCCUAGGUCGGAUUAGCUAGUUGGUGGGGUAAAGGCCUGCCAAGGCGACGAUCCGUAACUGGUCUGAGAGGAGGAGCAGUCACACUGGAGCUGAGACACGGCCCAGGCUCCUACGGGAGGCCGCCGCGGGGAAUAUUGGACACUGGGCGAAAGCCUGCUCCAGCCAUGCCGCGUGUGUGCAGAAGGUCUUCGGAUUGUAAAGCGCUUUUAGUUGGGAGGAAGGGCAGUAAGUUAAUACCUUGCUGUUUUGACGUUACCAACAGAAUAAGCACCGGCUAACUUCGUG